AGCAGCCGCGGUAAUUCCAGCUCCAAUAGCGUAUAUUAAAGUUGUUGCAGUUAAAAAGCUCGUAGUUGAAUUUCGGGGUUUGUCCAUUGGUCGGGCUUUAUUGUCCGUACUGGUGUGAUGAAUUCCUACCUUCUGAAUAACCUUCAUGCCAUUAAUUUGGUGCGUUGGGGAAGCAGAGCUGUUACCUUGAAAAAAUUAGAGUGCUUAAAGCAGGCAAGUGCCUGAAUACAUUAGCAUGGAAUAAUGAAAUAGGACGGCAUGGUUCUAUUUUGUUGGUUUCUAGGAUCACCGUAAUGAUUAAUAGGGAUAGUUGGGGGCAUUAGUAUUCAAUUGUCAGAGGUGAAAUUCUUGGAUUUAUUGAAGACUAACUUCUGCGAAAGCAUUUGCCAAGGAUGUUUUCAUUAAUCAAGAACGAAAGUUAGGGGAUCGAAGACGAUCAGAUACCGUCGUAGUCUUAACCAUAAACUAUGCCGACUAGGGAUCGGACGAUGUUAAUUUUUUAAUGACUCG
RNAcentral lists this ribosomal RNA (510 nucleotides) under Acaulospora sp. Aco1. RNAcentral describes it as "SSU rRNA". It matches the Rfam family "Eukaryotic small subunit ribosomal RNA", at positions 569 to 1078 of the family's 1831-position model. Lineage: Eukaryota; Fungi; Glomeromycota; Glomeromycetes; Diversisporales; Acaulosporaceae. The record is from RNAcentral.